GUUCCUGGGAAGUACAGCGUUGAAGUGACAGGCUAGUCCCAGUUUACAUAGUCCCAGUAAACAACCUGAAGCCGGCAGUGGUCAAAGUGUAUGACUACUACCAAAUCAGUGAUGAAGCAGAGGCAGAGUACAGCUCCCCGUGUGCAUAAGAAGAGAUCCUGGUGGAUUCAAUCAUUCUGGUGUGUGUGUGUGUGUACUUUAUUUUGAUUUUGUCACCAUGACAGACAGUAAAUAGACAGAGAUUACAUUCCA
This is a long non-coding RNA of Alosa alosa (allis shad), 252 nucleotides long. RefSeq lists it as uncharacterized. NCBI's taxonomy places the organism in Eukaryota, Metazoa, Chordata, Actinopteri, Clupeiformes, Clupeidae. The transcript has 2 exons. The record is from RefSeq and is a predicted model, not a curated record.